UACAGAGGGUGCGAGCGUUAAUCGGAAUUACUGGGCGUAAAGCGCGCGUAGGCGGCUUUGCAAGUCGAGUGUGAAAUCCCCAGGCUUAACCUGGGAACUGCAUUCGAGACUGCAUAGCUAGAGUAUGGGAGAGGGAAGUGGAAUUUCAGGUGUAGCGGUGAAAUGCGUAGAUAUCUGAAGGAACAUCAGUGGCGAAAGCGACUUCCUGAACCAAUACUGACGCUCAUGUGCGAAAGCGUGGGGAGCAAACAGG
Molecule: ribosomal RNA, 253 nt
Filed under: uncultured bacterium
Lineage: Bacteria
Description: partial 16S ribosomal RNA
Rfam family: Bacterial small subunit ribosomal RNA
Source: RNAcentral